This is a non-coding RNA of Oryza nivara, 174 nucleotides long. The record is from Rfam. Lineage: Eukaryota; Viridiplantae; Streptophyta; Magnoliopsida; Poales; Poaceae.
UUUAAGUGUAGUUGUGGGUUUAUAUGUCUAACGUUUGACUGUCCAUAUUAUUUGAAUAUAUUUUAUGAUUAAUAUUUACUUUAUGCUUGACUUAUUUUUUUAAAUUUUUCUAUAGAUUUUUAAAUAAGACAUAUGAUUAAACAUUGAAUAUGAAAACCCAUGAUUGCACUUAAA